Molecule: long non-coding RNA, 743 nt
Filed under: Homo sapiens (human)
Lineage: Eukaryota; Metazoa; Chordata; Mammalia; Primates; Hominidae
Description: HSALNT0303811
Source: RNAcentral
GUUUUUCUGACUGAUAUUUAAGUCUGUGAGGAAAGGCUUUGCUGUGUUUCCUCUGCAGAGAAAGUGCCCAGCUUUCAGAAGAAUUGAACUAUAGUAAAUGGCAGAGAGUCUAGCACAAUUAAGUAUUUCUAAACCAGGACUGAAAAUGAAGAAAUGAUCACCAUAGAGGAAACAAAAUCAGAGAGGAUAGGAAACCUGUCCAAAGUCAUAUGGCUGAUAAGAGGCAGAGUGAAGACUGGACCUGAGCAAGUUUGGUGUAGAAGCCUGUGCUCUUAACUGCCAUCCUAGAUUCUUUCUUAAGACUUCUUCUGAGGAUCAGCCUCAUACAAAAGGGUAAUGGUGGCAGCAGCUCCAGAACUCAUAUCAUAUCCUCCCAUGUUAAAGUCAAAUGAGAAAAGUCUGUCUUCGCCCCAGGAUUCCCAGCGAUGCCUCCUGAUGUGUCAUUGGCUCGGAUUGCAUCAUGUGCCCUCCGUGGACUUUGUCCAGAUGAAUGUUUUAGAUUCCUUGUCCCCAGUUACCUCAUCUUUAAAAUGAAGACAAGACUCAGAGUUGGCUUUCCAGACCUAAGCUUCAUGUUCUGCCUGUGUGAUUCUGUCUUCACGAUUCUCAUGUUCAAUUACCAAUACUCAAUUCUGUCUUCUACUAAGUAUGUACAGCUCUAAAAGACACACCUCAGUAUGGGCAAUGUUCUCUUAAACUGUGAUAUCCAAAGCAACUUGUCUUUGCUAAAUGAGUACACUUAG